Molecule: unclassified non-coding RNA, 693 nt
Filed under: Zea mays
Lineage: Eukaryota; Viridiplantae; Streptophyta; Magnoliopsida; Poales; Poaceae
Description: misc RNA Zm00001eb365920
Source: RNAcentral
UUGGUGUCGCUACCCUCCUCGUCCUCCUCGGGCUUGGCAUGGGUGGGGUUCGCGGGGUGCGAGGGCGACACGGAGGUGGAUUGGAACCGCGAAGGCCAUCGUCACGCGGGCCUCAUCGACGUCCUCGUCGUCGGGCUUAGCACGAGUGGGAAGCGGGGGGCGGCGAAGGCGGAUCGAAGCCGCGGAGGGUCGGGGACUGCGGGGGAGGUUAGGGAUUGGGUACAGCCCAGAAGAAGAGACCAAUCCACGCCAGCCCGGCAGAGAGGUGGAAGACGAGUCGCGGAGAAGGAUUCCUCCGGCGUGUUCGGAAGAGAGGAGUCGACGAGCGGGGUUGGAGCGGAGGCGCCGCAGGAUUUGGGAAUUCGGGGGCACAGGCGUGGAGCGCUGAUGUCAAUGGACAAGAAAUGGUGUGAGCACUCCCUACUUCCCCCAAUCACAACGCUGGGUCGGACGGUCGGCGUUGGCGGUGGGCGAAAUCGGGGACAGGACUGUAGGAGAUCCACCUGUGCCCACGACGAUGGAGCCCAGCAUGGACCCUCGUUGCCGCUACUUCUUCAUCUUCCCGGAGCAGUCCACCACGGGCGCCUUGGUCAGCAGCUCCAUUGCGACGCGACGAGGGCGAGGUUCACAGCCCCUGCCUCUGGCCUUCCUUGGCUCUUGGUGCUAGAGGCGCAGAGCGCGGAGGUGGGGUGA